UUGUGGAGGAGGACGCCGAAGGUGGGGCUAAUGACUGGGGUGAAGUCGUAACAAGGUAGCCGUACCGGAAGGUGCGGCUGGAUCACCUCCUAACAGGGAGACAACAAAAUGUUUAAUAUUAUUAUUUUGUCACCUUAGGUCGAUCGGUAUCUCACAUUCUUAAUUUAUUAAGAAUUUCAUUUCCUAAGUUUUUCUAGGUCACACCCAUUAUUUUCCUGGGCCAUUAGCUCAGGUGGUUAGAGCGCACCCCUGAUAAGGGUGAGGUCCCUGGUUCAAGUCCAGGAUGGCCCAUAUCUCUAUGUUGGGGGUAUAGCUCAGUUGGUAGAGCGCCUGCUUUGCAAGCAGGAUGUCAGCGGUUCGAGUCCGCUUACCUCCACUGAUUACCACCUCUUCCAUAAUCUUUAGAAAGGAAAAUUUUUUGAGUUGUGAGCAUAAUUCUGAACGAAUCUAGCUUCCUAAUGAAAUCAUUAAGAUGCUGGACUCAUUGAUUAAUUUCAUUGUUUUCAGAGAACCUUGACAACUGCAUAGAUUAUUCUUAAAGACAAUAAGCAUCUUUAAUGAUGCAGAUUUAUUAUUUGUGCGAAUGCAUUAACAACAAUUCUAUUAAGCUGAUGCUUCAAUUUUGAAGUUAUUGGUCAAGCUACAA
This 646-nucleotide unclassified non-coding RNA is filed under the name uncultured Prochlorococcus sp. RNAcentral describes it as "partial 16S-23S ribosomal RNA intergenic spacer; may also contain 16S ribosomal RNA and 23S ribosomal RNA". The stretch from base 304 to 376 matches the Rfam family "tRNA". Lineage: Bacteria; Bacillati; Cyanobacteriota; Cyanophyceae; Synechococcales; Prochlorococcaceae. The record is from RNAcentral.